This 406-nucleotide ribosomal RNA is filed under the name uncultured bacterium. RNAcentral describes it as "partial 16S ribosomal RNA". It matches the Rfam family "Bacterial small subunit ribosomal RNA", at positions 30 to 526 of the family's 1533-position model. The record is from RNAcentral.
AUUGAACGCUGGCGGCAGGCCUAACACAUGCAAGUCGAACGAGUGGCGGACGGGUGAGUAAUGUAUGGGAAACUGCCUGAUGGAGGGGGAUAACUACUGGAAACGGUAGCUAAUACCGCAUACCAUCGGAUGUGCCCAGAUGGGAUUAGCUAGUAGGUGGGGUAAAGGCUCACCUAGGCGACGAUCCCUAGCUGGUCUGAGAGGAUGACCAGGCACACUGGAACGGAAACACGGUCCAGACUCCUACGGUAGGCAGCAGUGGGGAAUAUUGCACAAUGGGCGCAAGCCUGAUGCAGCCAUGCCGCGUGGAUGAAGAAGGCCUUCGGGUUUUAAAGUACUUUCAGCGGGGAGGCGUUACCCGCAGAAGAAGCACCGGAUAACUCCGUGCCAGCAGCCGCGGUAAUUC